GACGAACGCUGGCGGCGUGCCUAAUACAUGCAAGUAGAACGCUGAAGAGAGGAGCUUGCUCUUCUUGGAUGAGUUGCGAACGGGUGAGUAACGCGUAGGUAACCUGCCUUGUAGCGGGGGAUAACUAUUGGAAACGAUAGCUAAUACCGCAUAACAAUGGAUGACACAUGUCAUUUAUUGAAAGGGGCAAUUGCUCCACUACAAGAUGGACCUGCGUUGUAUUAGCUAGUAGGUGAGGUAAUGGCUCACCUAGGCGACGAUACAUAGCCGACCUGAGAGGGUGAUCGGGCCACACUGGGACUGAGACACGGCCCAGACUCCUACGGGAGGCAGCAAGUAGGGGAAUCUUUCGGGCAAAAUGGGGCAAACCCUGACCGAGCAAACGCCGCGUGAGUGAAG
RNAcentral lists this ribosomal RNA (399 nucleotides) under uncultured bacterium. RNAcentral's name for it is "bacterial SSU rRNA". It matches the Rfam family "Bacterial small subunit ribosomal RNA", at positions 28 to 410 of the family's 1533-position model. The record is from RNAcentral.